RNAcentral lists this ribosomal RNA (853 nucleotides) under uncultured Staphylococcus sp. RNAcentral's name for it is "bacterial SSU rRNA". It matches the Rfam family "Bacterial small subunit ribosomal RNA", at positions 62 to 896 of the family's 1533-position model. The record is from RNAcentral. Lineage: Bacteria; Bacillati; Bacillota; Bacilli; Caryophanales; Staphylococcaceae.
UCGAGCGAACGGACGAGAAGCUUGCUUCUCUGAUGUUAGCGGCGGACGGGUGAGUAACACGUGGAUAACCUACCUAUAAGACUGGGAUGACUUCGGGAAACCGGAGCUAAUACCGGAUAAUAUUUUGAACCGCAUGGUUCAAAAGUGAAAGACGGUCUUGCUGUCACUUAUAGAUGGAUCCGCGCUGCAUUAGCUAGUUGGUAAGGUAACGGCUUACCAAGGCAACGAUGCAUAGCCGACCUGAGAGGGUGAUCGGCCACACUGGAACUGAGACACGGUCCAGACUCCUACGGGAGGCAGCAGUAGGGAAUCUUCCGCAAUGGGCGAAAGCCUGACGGAGCAACGCCGCGUGAGUGAUGAAGGUCUUCGGAUCGUAAAACUCUGUUAUUAGGGAAGAACAUAUGUGUAAGUAACUGUGCACAUCUUGACGGUACCUAAUCAGAAAGCCACGGCUAACUACGUGCCAGCAGCCGCGGUAAUACGUAGGUGGCAAGCGUUAUCCGGAAUUAUUGGGCGUAAAGCGCGCGUAGGCGGUUUUUUAAGUCUGAUGUGAAAGCCCACGGCUCAACCGUGGAGGGUCAUUGGAAACUGGAAAACUUGAGUGCAGAAGAGGAAAGUGGAAUUCCAUGUGUAGCGGUGAAAUGCGCAGAGAUAUGGAGGAACACCAGUGGCGAAGGCGACUUUCUGGUCUGUAACUGACGCUGAUGUGCGAAAGCGUGGGGAUCAAACAGGAUUAGAUACCCUGGUAGUCCACGCCGUAAACGAUGAGUGCUAAGUGUUAGGGGGUUUCCGCCCCUUAGUGCCGCAGCUAACGCAUUAAGCACUCCGCCUGGGGAGUACGACCGCAAGGUUG